UUUAUUAUACAAAUUGCCACCUUUAAUAAAUCUUAACAGAAGAGCAACCCAGGAAAAGAAAACAACAAAACAGUAAAGGGAUGUACAGAAAUGCUCUGCAAACAAGACAAACGAUUCUUGGGUAUUUGGAGGAUGACCAAAUUCAAACACACAGAAGGCAUCUUCCCUUCGGGUCUUUAGAAGGCUGAGCCUAGAGGGGAGGCCUUGGCUGGGCACCUCCCAGAGGCCAACAGACCUACUGCUGCAUCUCCUCCAGCCUCGAUGGUCGCAGGAGCCAGGGUGAGGAGGACGCCGCCAGGUGUGGACUUGAGGUUGCUGAGCCUUUGUGCUCUGCACAAAGAUGAUGUGCCUCACCAGUGACAGGCAGGAUGGACAUGGGUAUGGACACAUGCCAGCACUGGGUAACGACAGGUGAGUGCGUGGGGCACCUGACACUGGAAAGCGUCCCACAGUUUGGUGGCACAGACAGUGCGUCCCCCCAGAGCUCCGUGGUUGAGGUGUGCACUCAUCGCCAGCUCGGCCCCCAUUGGAAAGGUCUUGCCUCCAACCUCCACACAAGGUCAACCUCCGGAUUCAGGGCAAGCCGAGGGGGCUUGAUGUAGGUGCUUCCGUCGUGCCGUGAUUCUACAUGGAAGCGAGGAUGCCUCUGUCACCCUGGUUCCAUCCACCUGCUUCCCUUUCCAAAGAUUUGGCCUGUAAAUCGGACACUGGGGAGAGCCCAGGAGUGAAGCUGUAAGAAAGCACUGCUUCUGUAAACUGCUUGUAAAUUGCAUUUUCUUUGUUAAUUUGGGAUUAAAAAUUCUCAUUGCCAAUGGACUACUUGAGCCAUACUCCCUCCCACAGAGAAGGAAGAAACAAGGCUGCUGGUAGGAGCGCUGUCUUCUCUCUGGCUCCAUUUUGCGUCCUUGGCCUUUUCACACUUCCCCACAGAGAAUGGAGCUGCAGGGAUAAUUAAGCCUAAAGAUGAAAAUUUUAUCCUCCCCAAGUGGGAAUCUGCUGCAAGCCUAGGGUUGACCUGAAGUUAAUUUUGAAUGGGAAUGUCGUGUUUCAGAGCUUUUAUGCUAUGAUACCACUAUAUAAUAUUUCUCCAUUGAAAUAUCAAGUUCUAGAAGUAAGGAAUGUCCAAAUGCAAUUCUUCAUUACCGUGUUCCCUAGGAUGAUUCAAUACUUGGGGCCCCUGAACCUUCCAGAGGCACUGACUCAUCAGUCAGGGGCCUGGCCUGGGGGUCAGAUCUGAUUUCCAGUCUUGACUGUAUGAUGCAACAUGAUAUGGCACAAGACAUUUGGCCUCUCGGAGCCUUAGUUCCAGCUCCAAAAAUCUAGAAAUUCUAUGUCUCAACCUUCAGAGACCCGGCCACCUUGUUUUAAAGGUUGUGCAUAAAAUAUGGACACAGGUCAUUAGCUAUCUCAUUAAAUAUCUGUCAAAUGAAUGAAUGAAUGAACAAAUGAGUGCCAGUUAGGGCUCCGAAGCCAUUUUCUGGAAAACUUUGGAAGAACAAUCAAAGGCAAAGUUCAGCAACCAAAAACUGGAGACUUUGAUUUACUGUCACCGAAAAGUUGAAAAAUCUUAGUAAGAGACACUUGA
This 1585-nucleotide long non-coding RNA is filed under the name Canis lupus familiaris (dog). RNAcentral's name for it is "lncRNA (ENSCAFG00000051524.1)". The record is from RNAcentral. Lineage: Eukaryota; Metazoa; Chordata; Mammalia; Carnivora; Canidae.